GUCUUCCCCCAGCUCUUGUAAGGGACCGUGCAAGUGAGGCCCUGAGCUGAAGUUUAUUAGUUUAUUAGCUAACAGGUAGAUCUUUCUCUGAGGACUCACAGAUCUAUCUGGUGGUCUGACUGCAGCUGAGGACCCCAAUCUGGAGUAAUAGUAAAUAGCUGUAGAAGCCAAGGAUCAGAGGCGAGGCAAUGCCAUUGUAGUGGAAGGGAUACAUUCGAAUGGUAAUUAGCAGGUGGAACCAAGAUGAUUACAGUUUGGAAGAGGACAGAGUUAAAAAUGUGGCACCAUCUAGUCUGGCACUUGCCCCUCUUAAUUUAUCCAAAACAUUGAACAACACUUAAUAACUUGUGCCAGGCAUAGUGCUUGCUGCCAAGCAGAGGGGAGGGUGUGUGACCUGGGCUGUGAACUCAUACUGGCCGGCUCGCUGUAGCGUCCCCUGCCAGCCUCAGCUCCAGAGGAUGUCUGUUUCUCCUCUACUCAGUCAGCAAGGGAUCUUUCUCUUUGUUCUUACGAAUGAGGCCACCCAUUAAGAUGUGUCUAGAUACUUUGGCUCCCAGGUCACACCCAACUAUUGCCUCUUUUUGAUCCAAUAUAUACUUUUUCCGUAAACUGGUCAAAACCCAUACUUACACAGAGAUGGAAAGAGGAGUAUAAUUUCAAAUUGCAAGGGGAAGCUGGAUAUAACUCAGUUUUUAAAUCUCGAAUGUAUAUAUUUUUGGCCUGAUUUCCCACUCUGAACCCCCA
This 744-nucleotide long non-coding RNA is filed under the name Homo sapiens (human). RNAcentral describes it as "HSALNT0340503". Lineage: Eukaryota; Metazoa; Chordata; Mammalia; Primates; Hominidae. The record is from RNAcentral.